CGCAUCGGUGGUUGGCUGGCCUGGCCGAGCGCGAAGCCUCUCGGGAGUUGUAGUUUUUGUGGCCCUGCUGCGGACACCAGGAAGGGUUAUUGUGGUUGGAAACUGCAAGAAGCAAUUGCGCUCGUUCGCGACAGCUGGCACCAUGUCCCGCCUGUCGGUGCCCUGUCACGUGAAAGGCGCCGUAGCCCUGCAGGUGGGCGACGUGCGGACUUUCCAAGGCCGGCCUGGCGUGCUGGUCAUCGAUGUCACCUUCCCUAACGUGGAGCCUUUCGAGUUGCAGGAGAUCACAUUUAAGAAUUACUACACAGCCUUUUUGACCAUCCGUGUCCGUCAGCACACCACUGCGCACACACCAGCUAAGUGGGUGACCUGCCUGCGGGACUACUGUCUGAUGCCUGACCCACACAGUGAGGAUGGAGCCCAGGAAUAUGUAUCGCUAUUCAAGCACCAGAUGCUGUGUGACAUGGCCAGAGUCCUGGAGCUGCGUCUUAUUCUGCGGCAGCCGUCACCCCUGUGGCUAUCUUUCACAGUGGAGGAGCUGCAAAUCUACCAGCAGGGACCAAAGAGCCCGUCUGUGACCUUUCCCAAGUGGCUGUCCCACCCAGUGCCCUGUGAGCAGCCUACCCUUCUCCUUGAGAGUUCUAAGGGCCGUACUGGGGAGAGACCCAUGGCCAUUGACCCCUCCCUCUGGAGCAGGGUCUCCCAGACCCCAGCAGGGUAUCCUCCGAAGUACAGCAGAUGUGGGCGCUGACGGAGAUGAUCCGGGCCAGUCACACCUCCACGAGGAUCGGCCGCUUUGACGUUGAUGGCUGUUAUGACCUGAACUUGCUCUCCUACACUUGAGCAGCGGCUUCUAGCUGAGCUUUUGGCCUUUCCGUGCCCACCAGGCUUAGUUGGGGCCACCAGCGACAGAAGCGUUCCCGGUGCAUUCUCAGUGUGGUCUGCGUGCUCAUCCUGCUGGGCCACGUCCGCAGAUUCAAGAUUCUUGGGACUUACUAUGUGGCUUCAGGAUGAGCUCCUGGCAAGGGUGCAUUCUUCUUCUUUCACCUGGCAGCAGCACAAGUCCUUCUCCCCUAAACACACUCCGGCUCUUUCUACCGAGAAUCCCUGAGUGCCCUCUGCCCAUCCUGCCCACAUGCACAGCCCCGUCUUCUGUGGCCACCCGCCCCGAAGUGCAGUGAACCAGUUCCGUCUGACCCUGGAAGGCCACUGCUACCUUGGCACUGAGACUGGAAAGCUUGAGGCAGAAAGAGAGGCCCCUGUCCACCCUCUGCACCCUGUCGUGGCCUUCUUUCUCUUUGUACUAUGUCCACAAAAAUAAUUUCUUUUUUAAAACUGUUA
RNA transcript from Chinchilla lanigera (long-tailed chinchilla), 1341 nucleotides. It is a transcript of the gene named nicolin 1, with no coding region annotated. NCBI's taxonomy places the organism in Eukaryota, Metazoa, Chordata, Mammalia, Rodentia, Chinchillidae. The record is from RefSeq and is a predicted model, not a curated record. The transcript has 6 exons.